UGAUUGAACUAGUUGAUAACCACCUUCGUGACACCGGUUAUCCGGGACCACAGUUGUUAGGGUUAGUGAAGCCGGAUUACUGAAAGAAAUCCAGGACAUGUUGAUCUUGCUUUGUAGUACAGGCCUCUGGAGGAGUGUCCAGAAGGAAGUAGGUCAAGGGGCGUGGCCGAUCCAACACUGCAUUGCCGGUUUUCACAGCUGCAGCUCAUCUUCAUGAUUCACCCCUGCAAUACUUAAACCUGGGCUGAUCACCUUGUUGGUGCCAGUUUCUUAUCUACAACCCAUGUGCUGCCUCCUCUGCUUUGCCUGCCUGCUUCAAGCCCCACCAUCCAGCCUCUGUCUCCAACUUGGGAAACCCUCCAUGUUCUCGUCUCUGCCUGUUCCCCUCGUGUCCCAUAAAGACCUGGAUUCUUCCCUGUCGGCUCGCCACAAGCCUCAGACCAGCCAGGAGUUUCACCACCCUGACACUACCUACAGUGAUUCUCUGAGUACACUCUGCUACAUUAAACCUUUUUAAACUGC
Perca flavescens (yellow perch) is the source of this 522-nucleotide long non-coding RNA. RefSeq lists it as uncharacterized. The transcript is spliced from 2 exons. Lineage: Eukaryota; Metazoa; Chordata; Actinopteri; Perciformes; Percidae. The record is from RefSeq and is a predicted model, not a curated record.